This 376-nucleotide ribosomal RNA is filed under the name uncultured eukaryote. RNAcentral describes it as "partial 18S ribosomal RNA". It matches the Rfam family "Eukaryotic small subunit ribosomal RNA", at positions 592 to 976 of the family's 1831-position model. The record is from RNAcentral.
CAAUAGCGUAUAUUUAAGUUGCUGCAGUUAAAAAGCUCGUAGUUGGAUUUCGGGUGGGAAUGGCCGGUCCGCCGUUUCGGUGUGCACUUGCUACGCCCACCUUGCUGCCGGGGACGUGCUCUUGAGUUCACGCUCGGGACACGGAGUCGGCGAGGUUACUUUGAGUAAAUUAGAGUGUUCAAAGCAGGCCUACGCUCUGAAUACAUUAGCAUGGAAUAACACGAUAGGACUCUGGCCUAUCUUGUUGGUCUGUAGGACCGGAGUAAUGAUUAAGAGGGACAGUCGGGGCAUUCGUAUUUCAUUGUCAGAGGUGAAAUUCUUGGAUUUAUGAAAGACGAACUUCUGCGAAAGCAUUUGCCAAGGAUGUUUUCAUUGA